UGGGGAAUUUUGGACAAUGGGCGAAAGCCUGAUCCAGCAAUGCCGCGUGUGUGAAGAAGGCCUUCGGGUUGUAAAGCACUUUUGUCCGGAAAGAAAUCCUUGGCUCUAAUACAGUCGGGGGAUGACGGUACCGGAAGAAUAAGCACCGGCUAACUACGUGCCAGCAGCCGCGGUAAUACGUAGGGUGCAAGCGUUAAUCGGAAUUACUGGGCGUAAAGCGUGCGCAGGCGGUUUGCUAAGACCGAUGUGAAAUCCCCGGGCUCAACCUGGGAACUGCAUUGGUGACUGGCAGGCUAGAGUAUGGCAGAGGGGGGUAGAAUUCCACGUGUAGCAGUGAAAUGCGUAGAGAUGCGGAGGAAUACCGAUGGCGAAGGCAGCCCCCUGGGCCAAUACUGACGCUCAUGCACGAAAGCGUGGGGAGCAAACAGGAUUAGAUACCCUGGUAGUCCACGCCCUAAACGAUGUCAACUAGUUGUUGGGGAUUCAUUUCCUUAGUAACGUAGCUAACGCGUGAAGUUGACCGCCU
This 526-nucleotide ribosomal RNA is filed under the name uncultured bacterium. Its description in RNAcentral is "partial 16S ribosomal RNA". It matches the Rfam family "Bacterial small subunit ribosomal RNA", at positions 355 to 874 of the family's 1533-position model. The record is from RNAcentral.